Papaver somniferum (opium poppy) is the source of this 666-nucleotide long non-coding RNA. RefSeq lists it as uncharacterized. NCBI's taxonomy places the organism in Eukaryota, Viridiplantae, Streptophyta, Magnoliopsida, Ranunculales, Papaveraceae. The transcript has 3 exons. The record is from RefSeq and is a predicted model, not a curated record.
CAGGGGAGAAGAAGAACACGAGCUCCAAUCCAGUUUAUACCCUGAAGAUGUCUUUGAAGUUCUUAGAUCAUCGUCUUUUCAAUUAGGGAUCAAAUUAAAAGCUAUUAUCCAGGAAACCCUGACUUAUCUUCAAUAUUGAUCGGCUCCUCUCCUUUAUCGCGCGCGAUUAGAAAGGAAGUUCAGUGAAGAACAGCAAUGAGCUCUGUACGUGGACAUGGUUACAAGUGUCGUCGAGCCAUAACCAGACUGAAACCUGUGAUGAAUGUCGUGUGCAACAACAACAUGAUACGAAAACAAAAAAGGAAGAACAAAAGAAGUAGAGGUGCUGGUGGCAACAUUAGUUUGUCGAAUAGUGCUAGUACGUUUCAUGAUGAUAGUGCCAUUGUAUGCGAGAUACUAAGCAGGCUACCAGUGAGUCACUUGUUCGAUUCAAAUGCGUAUGUAAACGUUGGCGGUCACUCAUCGAGGAAGACCCGAACUUUAUACAUUUACACCUUAACCAAUCAAUAAAGCGGCCGAAACUCUUUUUCAUCAACCCAAUACCACAUGAGUACCCAGAAUCAUGGCUGCGGAGACUUACAGUCCCACGCAAUCCAGGUUAUUAUAAAGUGGAUCUAGUGACAGUUGACUUAAUGAUUGAAGGUAGAGGAGGGGCAGCACCCACAG